Molecule: long non-coding RNA, 286 nt
Organism: Aricia agestis (brown argus)
Lineage: Eukaryota; Metazoa; Arthropoda; Insecta; Lepidoptera; Lycaenidae
Exons: 3
Source: RefSeq, a predicted model, not a curated record
GAAAACAAAGAAACCAACUCGAACAUGAUUUUAAAGAAGAGGGAGGCGUGGACUAAUAUUUGCAAGCAAUACAACGCUGUUGCUGCUAGUGGAUGCCGAAGUUGGGAACAACUUCGGCAUCUAUAUGAAAACUUAAAGCAGCGGUCCAAAAAGAAUAUUGCUAAUGCUAAUCGACAACAGUUUUAUGAAAAAACCAGAGUUGAUAUGAAAGAGGUGCAAAGUAAAGCAUCACUUGAUAAGAAAGAGAUAAAUCGUACUGGUGGUGGAUCCUAUAGGAGCACUAUUA